RNAcentral lists this ribosomal RNA (611 nucleotides) under Hydraena putearius. Its description in RNAcentral is "partial 16S ribosomal RNA". It matches the Rfam family "Bacterial large subunit ribosomal RNA", at positions 1819 to 2725 of the family's 2925-position model. Lineage: Eukaryota; Metazoa; Arthropoda; Insecta; Coleoptera; Hydraenidae. The record is from RNAcentral.
GUCUUUUUGAUUAUAAUAUAAAGUCUGGCCUGCCCACUGAAAAUUUAAAGGGCCGCAGUAUUUUAACUGUGCAAAGGUAGCAUAAUAAUUAGUUUCUUAAUUAGAAGCUGGUAUGAAUGGUUAAACGAAAAAUUAACUGUCUCAAUUUAUAAAUUAAAAUUUUAUUUUUAAGUUAAAAAGCUUAAAUAAUUUUAAAAGACGAGAAGACCCUAUAGAGUUUUAUAAGAAUUUAAAUUUUGAUUUUAGAAUUUAUAUAAUUAAAAUUUUUAUUUUAUUGGGGUGAUAUGUAAAUUUAAUAAACUUUAUAUUUUUAUUAACAUUUAUAAAUGAAUAUAUGAUCCAUUUUUUGUGAUUAAAAGAAAAAAUUACCUUAGGGAUAACAGCGUUAUUUUUUUUUAGAGUUCUAAUCGAAAAAAAAGAUUGCGACCUCGAUGUUGGAUUAAAAUUAAUUUUUGGUGUAGAAGCUGAAAAAUUAGGUCUGUUCGACCUUUAAAAUUUUACAUGAUCUGAGUUUAGACCGGCGUGAGCCAGGUUGGUUUCUAUCUUUAAAUUAUUUAAAUAUUUUAGUACGAAAGGACCAAAUAUUUUUAAUAUUUAAUAUAUUUUGAAUA